RNAcentral lists this long non-coding RNA (346 nucleotides) under Bos indicus x Bos taurus (hybrid cattle). Its description in RNAcentral is "lncRNA (ENSBIXG00005022906.1)". The record is from RNAcentral. Lineage: Eukaryota; Metazoa; Chordata; Mammalia; Artiodactyla; Bovidae.
CUUCGCCCUGUGCGGCAGGAAAACUUUAUUUCAUCACUCUCUCCUCUGACAUGUCAAAACACAGAAGCUUCUGCACCCUUAGGGCCUCUGUUCUCUGGUGGAAAAAAUAAGAGGCUGGGUAGCUGAGAGGGCAUGUUGGCAUUCAGUGAUGGGCAGGGCCUGAUUCCUGUCCUGACUGAGCCCCCAAUUCUUUUGCCUCCAAGCUCAGAGAAGGGAGUGAAGAUGUUUCUUUCCUGAAGAAAUGUGCUGUUUGGGAACACGUGCCAUCCAGUCCCUCUGACUCCGUGCCCUGAUUUUCUCUGGGUGUCCAUCCCCCGCUUUGAGAGCUCACGUCCUUGCAGGGAAG